GAGUGUUCAAGCUCUUUUAGACUUUGUCUUGCAGGUCUUCCAGUCUCUAACAGAAGGCCCCC
This is a small nuclear RNA of Erinaceus europaeus (western European hedgehog), 62 nucleotides long. Its record names the gene U7. It matches the Rfam family "U7 small nuclear RNA". From Rfam's summary of the family: Animal histone pre-mRNAs are spliced by a different mechanism than nuclear pre-mRNAs and self-splicing introns. This processing involves the U7 snRNP, which contains only one RNA species: U7. The record is from Ensembl. NCBI's taxonomy places the organism in Eukaryota, Metazoa, Chordata, Mammalia, Eulipotyphla, Erinaceidae.